This 549-nucleotide ribosomal RNA is filed under the name uncultured bacterium. RNAcentral's name for it is "bacterial SSU rRNA". It matches the Rfam family "Bacterial small subunit ribosomal RNA", at positions 355 to 896 of the family's 1533-position model. The record is from RNAcentral.
UAGGGAAUCUUCCGCAAUGGGCGAAAGCCUGACGGAGCAACGCCGCGUGAGUGAAGAAGGAUUUCGGUUCGUAAAGCUCUGUUGUUAGGGAAGAAUGAUUGUGUAGUAACUAUACACAGUAGAGACGGUACCUAACCAGAAAGCCACGGCUAAACUACGUGCCAGCAGCCGCGGUAAUACGUAGGUGGCAAGCGUUGUCCGGAAUUAUUGGGCGUAAAGCGCGCGCAGGUGGUUUAAUAAGUCUGAUGUGAAAGCCCACGGCUCAACCGUGGAGGGUCAUUGGAAACUGUUAAACUUGAGUGCAGGAGAGAAAAGUGGAAUUCCUAGUGUAGCGGUGAAAUGCGUAGAGAUUAGGAGGAACACCAGUGGCGAAGGCGGCUUUUUGGCCUGUAACUGACACUGAGGCGCGAAAGCGUGGGGAGCAAACAGGAUUAGAUACCCUGGUAGUCCACGCCGUAAACGAUGAGUGCUAAGUGUUGGUCUCAUAAGAGAUCAGUGCUGCAGCUAACGCAUUAAGCACUCCGCCUGGGGAGUACGACCGCAAGGUUG